This 2923-nucleotide ribosomal RNA is filed under the name Klebsiella pneumoniae subsp. pneumoniae. RNAcentral's name for it is "bacterial LSU rRNA". It matches the Rfam family "Bacterial large subunit ribosomal RNA". The record is from RNAcentral. Lineage: Bacteria; Pseudomonadati; Pseudomonadota; Gammaproteobacteria; Enterobacterales; Enterobacteriaceae.
GGGUUGUGAGGUUAAGCGACUAAGCGUACACGGUGGAUGCCCUGGCAGUCAGAGGCGAUGAAGGACGUGCUAAUCUGCGAAAAGCGUCGGUAAGGUGAUAUGAACCGUUAUAGCCGGCGAUGUCCGAAUGGGGAAACCCAGUGUGAUUCGUCACACUAUCGUUAACUGAAUACAUAGGUUAACGAGGCGAACCGGGGGAACUGAAACAUCUAAGUACCCCGAGGAAAAGAAAUCAACCGAGAUUCCCCCAGUAGCGGCGAGCGAACGGGGAGCAGCCCAGAGUCUGAAUCAGCUUGUGUGUUAGUGGAACGGUCUGGAAAGUCCGACGGUACAGGGUGAUAGUCCCGUACACCAAAAUGCACAGGCUGUGAACUCGAAGAGUAGGGCGGGACACGUGGUAUCCUGUCUGAAUAUGGGGGGACCAUCCUCCAAGGCUAAAUACUCCUGACUGACCGAUAGUGAACCAGUACCGUGAGGGAAAGGCGAAAAGAACCCCGGCGAGGGGAGUGAAAAAGAACCUGAAACCGUGUACGUACAAGCAGUGGGAGCACCUUCGGGUGUGACUGCGUACCUUUUGUAUAAUGGGUCAGCGACUUAUAUUCUGUAGCAAGGUUAACCGUAUAGGGGAGCCGCAGGGAAACCGAGUCUUAACUGGGCGUUAAGUUGCAGGGUAUAGACCCGAAACCCGGUGAUCUAGCCAUGGGCAGGUUGAAGGUUGGGUAACACUAACUGGAGGACCGAACCGACUAAUGUUGAAAAAUUAGCGGAUGACUUGUGGCUGGGGGUGAAAGGCCAAUCAAACCGGGAGAUAGCUGGUUCUCCCCGAAAGCUAUUUAGGUAGCGCCUCGUGAACUCAUCUUCGGGGGUAGAGCACUGUUUCGGCUAGGGGGUCAUCCCGACUUACCAACCCGAUGCAAACUACGAAUACCGAAGAAUGUUAUCACGGGAGACACACGGCGGGUGCUAACGUCCGUCGUGAAGAGGGAAACAACCCAGACCGCCAGCUAAGGUCCCAAAGUCAUGGUUAAGUGGGAAACGAUGUGGGAAGGCACAGACAGCCAGGAUGUUGGCUUAGAAGCAGCCAUCAUUUAAAGAAAGCGUAAUAGCUCACUGGUCGAGUCGGCCUGCGCGGAAGAUGUAACGGGGCUAAACCAUGCACCGAAGCUGCGGCAGCGACACUAUGUGUUGUUGGGUAGGGGAGCGUUCUGUAAGCCUGCGAAGGUGACCUGUGAGGGUUGCUGGAGGUAUCAGAAGUGCGAAUGCUGACAUAAGUAACGAUAAAGCGGGUGAAAAGCCCGCUCGCCGGAAGACCAAGGGUUCCUGUCCAACGUUAAUCGGGGCAGGGUGAGUCGACCCCUAAGGCGAGGCCGAAAGGCGUAGUCGAUGGGAAACAGGUUAAUAUUCCUGUACUUGGUGUUACUGCGAAGGGGGGACGGAGAAGGCUAUGUUAGCCGGGCGACGGUUGUCCCGGUUUAAGCAUGUAGGCUGAUUGUCCAGGCAAAUCCGGAUAAUCAAGGCUGAGGUGUGAUGACGAGGCACUACGGUGCUGAAGUAACAAAUGCCCUGCUUCCAGGAAAAGCCUCUAAGCAUCAGGUAACAUUAAAUCGUACCCCAAACCGACACAGGUGGUCAGGUAGAGAAUACCAAGGCGCUUGAGAGAACUCGGGUGAAGGAACUAGGCAAAAUGGUGCCGUAACUUCGGGAGAAGGCACGCUGGUGUGUAGGUGAAGUCCCUGCGGAUGGAGCUGAGACCAGUCGAAGAUACCAGCUGGCUGCAACUGUUUAUUAAAAACACAGCACUGUGCAAACACGAAAGUGGACGUAUACGGUGUGACGCCUGCCCGGUGCCGGAAGGUUAAUUGAUGGGGUUAUCCGUAAGGAGAAGCUCUUGAUCGAAGCCCCGGUAAACGGCGGCCGUAACUAUAACGGUCCUAAGGUAGCGAAAUUCCUUGUCGGGUAAGUUCCGACCUGCACGAAUGGCGUAAUGAUGGCCAGGCUGUCUCCACCCGAGACUCAGUGAAAUUGAACUCGCUGUGAAGAUGCAGUGUACCCGCGGCAAGACGGAAAGACCCCGUGAACCUUUACUAUAGCUUGACACUGAACAUUGAGCCUUGAUGUGUAGGAUAGGUGGGAGGCUUUGAAGCGUGGACGCCAGUCUGCGUGGAGCCAACCUUGAAAUACCACCCUUUAAUGUUUGAUGUUCUAACGUUGGCCCCUGACCGGGGUUGCGGACAGUGUCUGGUGGGUAGUUUGACUGGGGCGGUCUCCUCCCAAAGCGUAACGGAGGAGCACGAAGGUUAGCUAAUCCUGGUCGGACAUCAGGAGGUUAGUGCAAUGGCAUAAGCUAGCUUGACUGCGAGCGUGACGGCGCGAGCAGGUGCGAAAGCAGGUCAUAGUGAUCCGGUGGUUCUGAAUGGAAGGGCCAUCGCUCAACGGAUAAAAGGUACUCCGGGGAUAACAGGCUGAUACCGCCCAAGAGUUCAUAUCGACGGCGGUGUUUGGCACCUCGAUGUCGGCUCAUCACAUCCUGGGGCUGAAGUAGGUCCCAAGGGUAUGGCUGUUCGCCAUUUAAAGUGGUACGCGAGCUGGGUUUAGAACGUCGUGAGACAGUUCGGUCCCUAUCUGCCGUGGGCGCUGGAGAAUUGAGGGGGGCUGCUCCUAGUACGAGAGGACCGGAGUGGACGCAUCACUGGUGUUCGGGUUGUCAUGCCAAUGGCACUGCCCGGUAGCUAAAUGCGGAAGAGAUAAGUGCUGAAAGCAUCUAAGCACGAAACUUGCCCCGAGAUGAGUUCUCCCUGAGACUUUAAGUCUCCUGAAGGAACGUUGAAGACGACGACGUUGAUAGGCCGGGUGUGUAAGCGCAGCGAUGCGUUGAGCUAACCGGUACUAAUGAACCGUGAGGCUUAACCUUACAACGCCGAAG